CCCCCAGGAAAACCCGUUGUUUAGCUCUGAAUCAGAACAACCAACAACCAAGUUUUUCUUCAGAUUCUCGUUUGUUCUGAUUUAAUGCUAAAGAGUAGGUUGUCUGGGGG
Non-coding RNA from Podarcis lilfordi (Lilford's wall lizard), 110 nucleotides. The record is from the annotation of a GenBank genome assembly. NCBI's taxonomy places the organism in Eukaryota, Metazoa, Chordata, Lepidosauria, Squamata, Lacertidae.